Molecule: ribosomal RNA, 401 nt
Filed under: uncultured bacterium
Lineage: Bacteria
Description: bacterial SSU rRNA
Rfam family: Bacterial small subunit ribosomal RNA
Source: RNAcentral
GGGGAAUCUUGCGCAAUGGGCGAAAGCCUGACGCAGCGACGCCGCGUGCGGGAUGAAGGCCUUCGGGUUGUAAACCGCUUUCAGCAGGGACGAAAUUGACGGUACCUGCAGAAGAAGCUCCGGCCAACUACGUGCCAGCAGCCGCGGUAAGACGUAGGGAGCAAGCGUUGUCCGGAUUUAUUGGGCGUAAAGGGCUCCUAGGUGGUUCAGUAAGUCGACUGUGAAAAUCCAAGGCUCAACCUUGGAACGCCAGCCGAUACUGCUGUGACGUGAGUUCGGUAGAGGAGUGUGGAAUUUCUGGUGUAGCGGUGAAAUGCGCAGAUAUCAGAAGGAACACCAACGGCGAAGGCAGCACUCUGGGCCGAUACUGACACUGAAGAGCGAAAGCGUGGGGAGCAAAC